UACGGAGGGUGCGAGCGUUGUCCGGAAUCACUGGGCGUAAAGGGCGCGUAGGUGGCACGGGUAGUCGUCGGUGAAAGCUCAGGGCUCAACCCUGAGUCGGCCGGUGAUACUCCCGAGCUCGAGUGUGGUAGAGGCCAAUGGAAUUCCGGGUGUAGCGGUGGAAUGCGUAGAGAUCCGGAAGAACACCGGUGGCGAAGGCGGUUGGCUGGGCCACAACUGACACUGAUGCGCGACAGCGUGGGGAGCGAACGGG
This 253-nucleotide ribosomal RNA is filed under the name uncultured bacterium. RNAcentral describes it as "partial 16S ribosomal RNA". It matches the Rfam family "Bacterial small subunit ribosomal RNA", at positions 524 to 776 of the family's 1533-position model. The record is from RNAcentral.